This 468-nucleotide ribosomal RNA is filed under the name uncultured bacterium. Its description in RNAcentral is "partial 16S ribosomal RNA". It matches the Rfam family "Bacterial small subunit ribosomal RNA", at positions 28 to 507 of the family's 1533-position model. The record is from RNAcentral.
GACGAACGCUGGCGGCGUGCUUAACACAUGCAAGUCGAACGGAAAGGCCCUGCUUUUGUGGGGUGCUCGAGUGGCGAACGGGUGAGUAACACGUGAGUAACCUGCCCUUGACUUUGGGAUAACUUCAGGAAACUGGGGCUAAUACCGGAUAGGAGCUCCUGCUGCAUGGUGGGGGUUGGAAAGUUUCGGCGGUUGGGGAUGGACUCGCGGCUUAUCCGCUUGUUGGUGGGGUAGUGGCUUACCAAGGCUUUGACGGGUAGCCGGCCUGAGAGGGUGACCGGCCACAAUGGGACUGAGAGACGGCGCAGAAGGCUACGGGAGGCAGCAGUGGGGAGUAUGGCAGAACGGGCGGAAGCCUGAUGCAGCAACGCCGCGUGCGGGAUGACGUCCUUCGGGUUGUAAACCGCUUUCGCCUGUGACGAAGCGUGAGUGACGGUAAUGGGUAAAGAAGCACCGGCUAACUACGUG